Molecule: ribosomal RNA, 309 nt
Filed under: uncultured eukaryote
Lineage: Eukaryota
Description: partial 18S ribosomal RNA
Rfam family: Eukaryotic small subunit ribosomal RNA
Source: RNAcentral
CCCUUAGAUGUUCUGGGCCGCACGCGCGCUACAAUGAUUGUCUCAGCAUGUUUUGGGUGUGUAAAUACCCAGGAAUCCCGAGUAACAAUCGUGAUGGGGCUAGACCCUUGCAAUUUUUGGUCUCCAACGAGGAAUUCCUAGUAAACGCAAGUCAUCAACUUGCAUUGAUUACGUCCCUGCCCUUUGUACACACCGCCCGUCGCACCUACCGAUUGAAUGGUCCGGUGAAGCCUCCGGAUUGGCGCGCACCUCGGUGCCGCCGAGAAGUUGGCUAAACCUUACCAUUUAGAGGAAGGUGAAGUCGUAACA